GAUGAACGCUGGCGGCGUGCCUAAUACAUGCAAGUCGAGCGAACAGACGAGGAGCUUGCUCCUCUGACGUUAGCGGCUGACGGGUGAGUAACACGUGGAUCACCUACCUCUAAGACUGGGAUAACUUCGGGAAACCGGAUCUAAUACCGCAUAACAUGUUGAACCGCAUGGUUCAACAGUGAAUGACGGCCUUGCUGUCUCUUAUAGAUGGAUCCGCGCCGCCUUAGCUAGUUGGUAAGGUAACGGCUUACCAAGGCAACGAUGCGUAGCCGACCUGAGAGGGUGAUCGGCCAAACUGGAACUGAGACACGGUCCAGACUCCUACGGGAGGCAGCAGUAGGGAAUCUUCCGCAAUGGGCGAAAGCCUGACGGAGCAACGCCGCGUGAGUGAAGAAGGUCUUCGGAUCGUAAAACUCUGUUAUUAGGGAAGAACAAAUGUGUAAGUAACUAUGCACGUCUUGACGGUACCUAAUCAGAAAGCCACGGCUAACUACGUG
RNAcentral lists this ribosomal RNA (497 nucleotides) under uncultured bacterium. RNAcentral's name for it is "partial 16S ribosomal RNA". It matches the Rfam family "Bacterial small subunit ribosomal RNA", at positions 28 to 507 of the family's 1533-position model. The record is from RNAcentral.